Molecule: non-coding RNA, 177 nt
Filed under: Thermodesulfovibrio sp.
Lineage: Bacteria; Pseudomonadati; Nitrospirota; Thermodesulfovibrionia; Thermodesulfovibrionales; Thermodesulfovibrionaceae
Source: RNAcentral
UAUAUACUUUUUUGGCUGGAUUCAAGGGAAGUGAGGUGAGAAUCCUCCGCUGCCCCGCAGCCGUGUUGGGAACGAAAGCCCAUUAAGCCACUGUCAUGGGUAAUACCAUGAUGGGAAGGCGGGCAAGUAGGUGCAUUAGCCCUAAGCCGGAAGACCUGUCCAGCUGGAGGCUCUUUG